Molecule: ribosomal RNA, 435 nt
Filed under: uncultured bacterium
Lineage: Bacteria
Description: partial 16S ribosomal RNA
Rfam family: Bacterial small subunit ribosomal RNA
Source: RNAcentral
GAUGAACGCUGGCGGUAUGCUUAACACAUGCAAGUCGAACGGACUCUUCGGAGUUAGUGGCGGACGGGUGAGUAACGCGUGAGAAUCUGGCUUUGGGUUCGGGACAACCACUGGAAACGGUGGCUAAUACCGGAUGUGCCGAGAGGUAAAAGAGAAAUUGCCUGAAGAUGAGCUCGCGUCUGAUUAGCUAGUUGGUGAGGUAAAGGCUCACCAAGGCAGCGAUCAGUAGCUGGUCUGAGAGGAGGACCAGCCACACUGGGACUGAGACACGGCCCAGACUCCUACGGGAGGCAGCAGUGGGGAAUUUUCCGCAAUGGGCGAAAGCCUGACGGAGCAAUACCGCGUGAGGGAAGAAGGCUCUUGGGUUGUAAACCUCUUUUCUUAGGGAAGAACAAAAUGACGGUACCUAAGGAAUCAGCAUCGGCUAACUCCGUG